This is a long non-coding RNA of Zonotrichia albicollis (white-throated sparrow), 426 nucleotides long. RefSeq lists it as uncharacterized. The record is from RefSeq and is a predicted model, not a curated record. Lineage: Eukaryota; Metazoa; Chordata; Aves; Passeriformes; Passerellidae.
GGGUUCGGGGGCCGGCAGUGCCGCUGGGCUCUGGGCUGCUCCAGGGUGGGCUUGUGACACUGCAGCUAAAGGCAGUCUGAGGGGUACGCUUACUUAAUCUGAAACCCCAGAAGCUGUAUCUCGCUCCUGCAAUCCUGUUUGCAGUCCGACUGGAAUGUGUGCCAGUAGCAGUGUGCCUCUGCUUUCUCCCAGUGCCUGCUGUAGAGUCCCUCUCCUCUCUGCAGCCUGCUCCACAUUCAUCUCUGAGGCAGAAUGUUCCUGCUCCCAAGCUGCCUUCAUACCUUUUUACAUUGAACCCAUCUGAAAUGCAAUUUAGGUACUCCCAGCUGCUAAAGUCAAGCAGUGCAUGCAGCUGCUUGAAUAAUGUACAUCAACCUGAAAUCUGCUAAAAGGAAAGUCUGGAACAGCAUAUGUAUUUGGUGUCCU